CCUGAGUUUAGACAUAGCUCA
This 21-nucleotide non-coding RNA is filed under the name Rattus norvegicus (Norway rat). Lineage: Eukaryota; Metazoa; Chordata; Mammalia; Rodentia; Muridae. The record is from RNAcentral.